Long non-coding RNA from Protopterus annectens (West African lungfish), 1766 nucleotides. RefSeq lists it as uncharacterized. Lineage: Eukaryota; Metazoa; Chordata; Ceratodontiformes; Protopteridae. The transcript has 4 exons. The record is from RefSeq and is a predicted model, not a curated record.
ACAGAGCAAGAGUAUGUCCAUGACGACAGGUAAGAGCGUGGUCGGUAAGGAAGGCCUAUGGUUAUUAGUGGUGACUGUGGAGACCUUGACUUCCAUGUUUACCUAUCCCAUACCCUUGAGACCCAUUUAGUCUCCUCUCUCUCUCGUUAUGAAAAAAGCAGCAAUCUUUCUUCAGUUAAAAGAAAUAAAAUGGGCAAAGCCAGGAGAAAAUAAGUGGUUGCUUCUUCACAAUAAAAGCUGAAUGCAUUGCAGAACAGAAGGAAAUGCAUAGCCUGACCGUACAGAUAUUCUGAUUCUAACUCCAAAGCUAAUUGUUGCUGGUUUCACAUUGUAUGGAGUCCCUCUGGCAGAGUGUGUAACACCAGGAGUAAGAGCAAUUAAAAUUAAUUCAACGGUACUCCAGUGGGGAAGCGCUACUAGUACACGAAAUAGAACAUAAGAAAAUUUUACCUGCCCUGCUGGACAAGGAUGUCCUACUACCAAUUUGACUUUUGAAGGAAAUUUAACUAUUUGGAGGGUAAGAAGAGAGCAUCGUUAUGUUCAGUUACUAGAUGACAGACAAGCUACGGUAAUAAUUCAAAAUUACACAAAUAUAAAAUGUUGUAAUUGUAAAUAUGAACAGACAUACCGAGAGAAUUGGUACUUUUGCCAGAAUGGAACUGAUAUUUAUAAUAAAUAAAUUGAUUUACAAAACAUUACAGUAUUGUUUGGUAUGAAUGCAACUCAGAUUAUAAAUGGAAUAUGGGCCUCUCAAAUAAUUAUAUUGAACAACCACUCCAGGGCUCACUGUGACUAAAUAAUUAAAGUGUCUUCUACAUCUAAAUAUGUAGGACAAACAUAUCAAAAAAACUGUACUAUAUUUUAAUGUUACUUUUCCAAAAAACAGUAAAUGUAGACAGAAAUGAGCUUGGUAUAGUACCUUAUUAGGAGGUAUUAGUACAGGGUUAGGAACUUUAAAUGCCAUUGAUGUUGAAGUCGUAGCUAAUAAAAUCAAAACUGUGGGUCAGAAUGUUUCACAAGUUAUACAUUUACAAGCACAGUGGAAUCCUACAGUUUGGCAUACCCAAAAACAGCUAGUUAGUUAUGAGAAAGAAUUUUUGGAUCAAUUUAAUGCUUCUGUAGUUCAUAAUUUGAAAUUUGACAAAAAUGUUACUAGGUUUGUAAACUGGACAAUGUGCUUUACAAUCUUUUUAUGUUUCAAUACAGAAGAAUUUUGUGCAGACAAAAUUAAUGGUUAAUAAUGAAUGUAUAUGGAGACAAUUAUUUAACAAAUGGAUACCUAAUACUAAUUGGUUAAGUCUGUUUUCUGAAAAAAACAAGAUGCACAGAUAAUUUUUGUACAGUUUAUAUCAUGCAUUAUAAUGUCACAAAUGCAAAAAUAAUGUGUCAGUUUGUAACCUUGCCAUUGGUAUUCGGACCUCCUGUGUAUCCAUUCCAGUAUUGGUUACCUCAUGUAGAAGGAAAUUAUAUUGAUUUCUCGAACAGAACACACAAACUGGAAAACUGUACUGAAAUGAUGGGUGGACUUGUUUUUGGACAACAUUCCUCUAUGUAUGAACCGUGUUUUCUUCAGUAUUCCAUCAGCAUCUGCAAAUUGACUAUAUUACCUCCCAUGUUUGAAAUGUUUGUAGAAAUAGCACCUCAAUGUAUAUGCUUAGUGACAAACCAAACAUUAUUGUAUGUUUUAAUGCAUCCUUUUGUAAGUUGUUUAGAUAAUGUAACUCAUUUACAUUGGCACAAUAAAACUUAUGUCUUUUCUCCUGAAA